This 429-nucleotide ribosomal RNA is filed under the name bacterium. RNAcentral describes it as "partial 16S ribosomal RNA". It matches the Rfam family "Bacterial small subunit ribosomal RNA", at positions 355 to 776 of the family's 1533-position model. The record is from RNAcentral.
UGGGGAAUUUUGGACAAUGGGGGCAACCCUGAUCCAGCAAUGCCGCGUGUGUGAAGAAGGCCUUCGGGUUGUAAAGCACUUUUGUCCGGGAAGAAAUCGCACCUGAUAAUACCGGGUGUGGAUGACGGUACCGGAAGAAUAAGGACCGGCUAACUACGUGCCAGCAGCCGCGGUAAUACGUAGGGUCCAAGCGUUACUCGGAAUUACUGGGCGUAAAGCGUGCGCAGGCGGUUGUGCAAGACCGAUGUGAAAUCCCCGGGCUUAACCUGGGAAUUGCAUUGGUGACUGCACGGCUAGAGUGUGUCAGAGGGGGGUAGAAUUCCACGUGUAGCAGUGAAAUGCGUAGAGAUGUGGAGGAAUACCGAUGGCGAAGGCAGCCCCCUGGGAUAACACUGACGCUCAUGCACGAAAGCGUGGGGAGCAAACAGG